This 86-nucleotide transfer RNA is filed under the name unidentified. RNAcentral describes it as "Shigella phage B2 tRNA-Ser". The record is from RNAcentral.
UAGAUAAGUAAUCCACUAAUAAGAAUUUGGAAGAUUCCGCUCAGUGGUGGGCAAUCCGGUUUGAACCCGGAGGUGCUGGUAACGGU